Suricata suricatta (meerkat) is the source of this 332-nucleotide long non-coding RNA. RefSeq lists it as uncharacterized. The record is from RefSeq and is a predicted model, not a curated record. The transcript is spliced from 3 exons. Lineage: Eukaryota; Metazoa; Chordata; Mammalia; Carnivora; Herpestidae.
CCCAGAGCAUGCUGAUUCUGUCCACACCCCAGAAACUAGGCAGAAACUAGUCCCCCUGGAAGCCUCCUCCAAAGUCAGUGUAUCUGUGGGAGAACCAGAGACGAGGAUUCUCAUUCCAUCAUCUUGCUGAAGCCGCUCCGGAGGCUGGAGGUUAGUUGAUUUUUAACAAGGAAUUCUACCACCUUUUUUGGAUUUGACAGAAGGCAUCAUGUCCUUGAUCGGCUGUGACCCACCUCUGUGGACAGGAGACUCUGGGUGAGAUGCGGUGUUUUCUUUGUGAGUACGUCAACAUUACCCUGAAGACGGAUGUUUUUGUUCUGCAGAAAUCAGAG